GACGAACGCUGGCGGCGUGCUUAACACAUGCAAGUCGAACGGUGAAGGGACCGGUUUUUGCUGGUUCUGGAUGAGUGGCGAACGGGUGAGUAACACGUGAGCAACCUGCCCCCCUCUUCUGGAUAACCGCAUGAAAGUGUGGCAAAUACGCGGUAUUCUGCGCCUGCUGCAUGGGGGGCGAGGGUUAGAUAUUGUCUCGGUGGGGGACGGGCUGGCGGCCUAUCAGCUUGUUGGUGGGGUGAUGGCCUAGCGAGGCGAUGAGGGGUAGCCGGCGUGGGAGGGUGGGCGGUCACACUGGGGCUGAGCCGCGGCCCAGACUCCGGCGGGAGGCAGCAGGGGAGAAUAUUGCACAGUGGGCGCAAUCCUGAUGCAGCGCCGCCGCGUGAGAGAUGGAGGCCUUCGGGUUGUAAACCUCUUUCGCCAGUGAAGCAGGCCUGUCCAUUUUGUGGGUGGGUUGACGGUAGCUGGAUAAGAAGCGCCGGCUAACUACGUG
This 493-nucleotide ribosomal RNA is filed under the name uncultured bacterium. Its description in RNAcentral is "partial 16S ribosomal RNA". It matches the Rfam family "Bacterial small subunit ribosomal RNA", at positions 28 to 507 of the family's 1533-position model. The record is from RNAcentral.